AUUGAACGCUGGCGGCAGGCCUAACACAUGCAAGUCGAACGGUAACAGGAAACAGCUUGCUGUUUCGCUGACGAGUGGCGGACGGGUGAGUAAUGUCUGGGAAACUGCCUGAUGGAGGGGGAUAACUACUGGAAACGGUAGCUAAUACCGCAUAACGUCGCAAGACCAAAGAGGGGGACCUUCGGGCCUCUUGCCAUCGGAUGUGCCCAGAUGGGAUUAGCUAGUAGGUGGGGUAAAGGCUCACCUAGGCGACGAUCCCUAGCUGGUCUGAGAGGAUGACCAGCCACACUGGAACUGAGACACGGUCCAGACUCCUACGGGAGGCAGCAGUGGGGAAUAUUGCACAAUGGGCGCAAGCCUGAUGCAGCCAUGCCGCGUGUAUGAAGAAGGCCUUCGGGUUGUAAAGUACUUUCAGCGGGGAAGAAGGGAGUAAAGUUAAUACCUUGACUCAUUGACGUUACCCGCAGAAGAAGCACCGGCUAACUCCGUG
This 490-nucleotide ribosomal RNA is filed under the name uncultured bacterium. Its description in RNAcentral is "partial 16S ribosomal RNA". It matches the Rfam family "Bacterial small subunit ribosomal RNA", at positions 30 to 507 of the family's 1533-position model. The record is from RNAcentral.